Molecule: RNA transcript, 9532 nt
Organism: Cajanus cajan (pigeon pea)
Lineage: Eukaryota; Viridiplantae; Streptophyta; Magnoliopsida; Fabales; Fabaceae
Gene name: BEACH domain-containing protein C2
Source: RefSeq, a predicted model, not a curated record
AGUCAUCACUUUGCUAAAUCCCAAUUUCACCCUCACUCUCGCGCUCAAUUCGCCUUCUCUAUCUCCUUCUCAUUUCUGUUCGAUCAAAUCUCAACCUCACUUCACGCUCCAUUCAUCCAUUCCAACCUUUCGUUUUUCCUUGCAUCUCACGUCACCAAACAAUGCCGAUUUCGUAACCAUCUCUGUCUGCAUGCGCGUCUGUGUAUUCUUUUCUUUGUAGAGCUCCGUGAUAUCUUUGCAUGAACAUGUCUCCGCGUUUGAUGUGAAUCCAACAUCUCUGCUGCGUUGAUCCGUUCUCGCAACGUGUGAGGCGAUUCCAGAUUCUGUGGAUUGGAGUUUGCAUUAUUUGAAUGAAUAUUUACUAGCUUCUUUGGUGGUAGUAUAAUGGAAGAAGAGGAAGAACUAAAAAAGACAAAAAUAUCUGAUAAUGGAUUAGAUAGUCGUGAAGUGAUAGACAGGGGUGUGGAACAAGUUGUUGAGAGUUCUCAGAAAGGAAAUGUUGACAUUGAGGAUGAACAAUGUAAGUUUAAAUAUUCAUCUGGGAUGUACUCACCAGACUGUAAUUCUUCCCCAGUUUCUGACAGGCAACAUGAUCAUCUUUCUUAUAGCCCUGGGUCAGAGGGGCAUUUUAGUCAUACAAACAAGGAGCAUGCUCCAUCGGUUAGUUUUGGUUCACCUGUAUGUUCUCCACAGAAGCCUAGGGAUAAAAACGCUGCGACAAAUACGUCUGCAGAGUUAUUGCACUUAGUUGAUUCUGCUAUCAUGGGAAAACCUGAAGGUAUGGAGAAACUGAAGAAUAUUGCAAGUGGUGUAGAAAUUCUUGGGAAUGGUGAAGAAAUGGAGAGCGUGUCUUUCUUAAUAGUAGAUUCACUUCUUGCAACAAUGGGUGGUGUUGAAAGUUUCGAAGAGGAUGGUGAUAAUCCUCCUAGUGUAAUGCUGAAUUCUCGGGCAGCCAUUGUGUCAGGUGAAUUGAUUCCUUGGCUUCCUUACAUAGGUGAUUCUGAUGUUGUCAUGUCACCAAGGACACGAAUGGUGAGGGGACUACUUGCCAUAUUACGGGCAUGCACUAGAAACAGAGCAAUGUGCUCAAUGGCUGGUCUGUUAGCAGUUCUGUUGAGAACAGCCGAAAAAAUUUUCACUGUAGAUGUUGGCUUAGACGGGCAAAUAAGGUGGGAUGGAACUCCUUUGUGCCGCUGCAUACAAUACUUGGCUGGGCAUUCUCUUAGUGUUAGUGAUCUUCAUAGAUGGUUUCAAGUCAUUACAGGAACACUUACCACAAUUUGGGCUUCACAAUUGAUGCUUACAUUAGAAAAAGCUAUAAACGAAAAGGAAUCUAGUGGACCAGCUUGCACUUUUGAAUUUGAUGGGGAAAGUUCUGGUUUGCUUGGUCCAGGUGAGGGUCGCUGGCCAUUUAUCCAUGGGUAUGGAUUUGCUACUUGGAUCUACAUUGAAUCAUUUGCUGAUGCACUAAAUACAGCUACCGUUGCUGCUGCAAUUGCUGCCGCUGCAUCUGCUAAAUCAGGAAAGUCAUCAGCUAUGUCAGCUGCUGCAGCAGCUAGUGCACUUGCUGGUGAAGGUACAGCACACAUGCCACGGUUAUUUAGUUUUUUAUCUGCUGAUAAUCAGGGUAUAGAGGCUUAUUUUCAUGCUCAAUUUUUGGUUGUUGAAAUUGGUUGUGGAAAGGGAAAGAAAUCUGCUUUACAUUUUACUUAUGCAUUUAGACCACAGUGCUGGUACUUUGUUGGUCUUGAACAUACAAGCAGGAACGGAAUUCUUGGGAAUGCAGAAAAUGAAAUUAGGUUAUAUGUAGAUGGAUCUUUACAUGAAAUUCGUCCUUUUGAGUUUCCUAGAAUUUCCAAACCCCUUGCAUUUUGCUGCAUAGGAACUAACCCUCCUCCUACUAUGGCUGGCUUGCAACGCCGUCGCCGUCAAUGCCCUUUGUUUGCUGAGAUGGGGCCUGUUUACAUCUUCAAGGAACCCAUUGGCCCAGAAAGGAUGGCACGCUUGGCUUCUAGAGGAGGGGAUGUAGUACCCUCUUUUGGUAAUGCAGCAGGGCUACCAUGGCUUGCAACAAAUGCUCAUGUGCAGAGCAACACAGAGGAAAGUGUUAUUUUGGAUGCAGAAAUUGGAGAUUUCAUUCACCUACUCUACCAUCCUAGAUUGCUUAGUGGGCGUUUCUGUCCAGAUGCUUCACCUUCUGGUGCUGCAGGAUUGGUUCGACGCCCAGCUGAGGUUCUUGGGCAAGUUCAUGUUGCUACACGAAUUCGACCAGUGGAUGCUUUGUGGGCAUUGGCUUAUGGUGGUCCAUUAUCUUUGCUUCCCUUAGCAAUUAGCAAUGUACAUGAGGAUACUCUAGAACCGAGGGAAGGGAAUUUUUCUGUGUCUGUAGCCACUACAUCUCUUGCUGGUCCAAUACUUCGAAUUAUAUCAACAGCUAUUCAACAUCCGAAGAACAAUGAGGAGUUGGCUCGUUGCAAAGGGCCUGAGAUUCUUUCAAAGAUUUUGAAUUAUCUUCUUCAAACCCUGUCUUCACUUUGUGAUGGAAAGAAUGAUGGUGUAGGUGAUGAGGAACUUGUUGCUGCAGUUGUCUCACUUUGUCUAUCUCAGAAAAUCAACCAUACGCUCAAGGUGCAGCUCUUCACUACACUCUUGCUGGAUUUAAAAAUCUGGAGUUUAUGUAGUUAUGGCAUACAAAAGAAGCUUCUAUCAUCACUUGCCGACAUGGUUUUCACUGAGUCGGUAGUGAUGCGAGAGGCCAAUGCAAUUCAGAUGCUUCUUGAUGGCUGCAGAAAAUGCUAUUGGACUGUUCCUGAAAAAGAUUCAGUAGAUAAUUUUUCUCUAACUGGAUCAACAAGACCAAUGGGUGAAGUCAAUGCUUUGGUUGACGAGCUCUUGGUAGUAAUUGAACUUCUAAUAGUGGCAGCAUCUCCUUCAUUGGCCUCCGAUGAUGUCCGAUGUUUACUAGGAUUCAUGGUUGACUGUCGACAACCUGGUCAGAUUGCUAGGGUGUUGCAUCUCUUCUACAGGUUGGUUGUGCAGCCUAAUACGGCUAGAGCUCACUCAUUUGCAAAAGCAUUCCUAGCUUGUGGUGGGAUAGAAACUCUUCUUGUUCUGAUCCAAAGAGAAGCUAAAGAUGGAGAAAGUGAUGUCUUGGAUUCGUUGUCAAAGAAUCCUGAAUUUCAAAAAAAUGAAACUGAUGGUAUCAGUGAAAUCAUAGAAACAUUUCAGGAUGAUGAAGGAUCCAAUGGGAAAAGUGAAGCCAUCUUACAAGACAAUGACUUUGGUUCUCAAUCUGUUGACAGUGGCAGUAACAUUGAUCCUAGUUCUCCUGAUGUUAAUAUUGAAAGGAUGACAUUUACCUCAGAAAUUCCAUCUGUCAAGAAUUUGGGAGGCAUAAGUUUAUCCAUCAGUGCUGACAGUGCUAGGAAGAAUGUUUAUAAUGUUGAUAAAAGUGAUGGCAUUGUUGUUGGGGUUGUAGGUCUCUUAGGUGCUUUAGUAGCUUCUGGGUAUCUGAGGUUUGGUUCCCGUGCUGGUCCAGAUACAACAAGGAACCUUUUGGGUGUUGGACUGCAUGAUGGAGGUGGUACUAUGUUUGAUGAUAAGGUUUCUUUUCUUUUUUAUGCCUUACAAAAGGCUUUCCAAGCAGCACCCAGUAGGCUAAUGACAAACAAUGUCUAUCGAGCUUUAUUGACUGCCUCGAUCAAUGCUUCUUCAACAGAGAAUGGGCUAAACUUGUAUGAUUCUGGCCAUCGCUUUGAACAUUUACAGCUUUUACUGGUGCUUUUGCAUUCCCUUCCAUUUGCCUCUAGGCCUCUACAGAGCAGAGCACUACAGGACCUUCUAUUUUUGGCUUGCAGUCAUCCAGAAAAUAAAGGCAAACUGAAAAAUAUGGAGGAAUGGCCUGAAUGGAUUCUGGAGGUCCUAAUAUCAAACUACGAGUUGGGUCCAAGCAAAUCAUCUGAUUCGACGAGCCUUGGGGACAUAGAGGACCUUAUACAUAAAUUCCUUGUUAUUAUGCUAGAACAUUCAAUGCGCCAAAAGGAUGGAUGGAAGGAUAUUGAAGCAACAAUUCAUUGUGCAGAAUGGCUUUCUAUUAUAGGUGGAUCUAGCACAGGAGAACAGAGAAUUAGACGUGAAGAAUCAUUACCUAUAUUUAAGAGAAAACUCUUUGGUGGGUUGAUGGACUUUGCUGCUAGAGAAUUGCAGGUCCAGUCUCAAGUUAUUGCUAUGGCUGUUGCUGGUGUUGCAGCUGAGGGUUUGUCUCCAAAUGCUGCCAAGGCAGAGGCUGAGAAUGCUACUCACCUGUCUGUGGUUUUAGUGGAAAAUUCCAUUGUGAUACUUAUGCUUGUUGAGGAUCAUUUACGUUCACAGAGCAAGCAGUCCUCUUUACGUACUGCAGAUGGCUCUCCAUCUCCCCUCUCUCUCUUUUAUCCAAUGCGUAAUAACUCAACAUCAUUGUCAACAAGUGCAGAAUCAACAGAAGUUAGGGGUGACCGUACAUCAUCAUCUAGCAACUCUGGGCGAAUCUCUCUUGAUGUCCUUUCUUCAAUGGCUGAUGCAAAUGGUCAGAUCUCUACUUCAAUUAUUGAAAGGCUUGCUGCAGCAGCUGCAGCUGAUCCAUAUGAAUCUGUUUCUGGUGCUUUUGUAUCAUAUGGAUCCUGUGCUAAGGAUUUAGCUAUUGGGUGGAAAUAUAGAAGCCGUUUGUGGUAUGGUGUCGGCCUUCCACCAAAUACAGCUUCAUUUGGUGGUGGCGGGAGUGGAUGGGAAUUUUGGAAGUCUGUUUUGGAGAAAGAUACCAAUGGCUACUGGGUUGAACUUCCUUUGGUGAGGAAGUCUGUGGCAAUGCUGCAAGCAUUGUUGCUAGAUGAGUCUGGGCAUGGUGGUGGUCUUGGUAUAGGUGGAGGGUCAGGUACUGGAAUGGGAGCAAUGUCUGCGUUGUACCAGCUUUUAGACAGUGAUCAGCCAUUCUUGUGCAUGCUUCGGAUGGUUCUUCUAUCAAUGAGGGAAGAUGAUGAUGGGGAAGACCAUAUGCUGACAAAAACUGCAAGUAUUGGCGGUGUGAUGCCUGAAGGAAGGAAACUACACUCAACACUUUUGUGGAGUGUUCUCUCACCUAUUCUUAACAUGCCAAUUACUGAUUCUAAGAAACAAAGAGUCUUGGUAGCAUGUUGUGUGCUUUAUUCCGAGGUAUACCAUGCUAUUAGCAUAGACCGAAAGCUUCAUCGCAAAAAGUACAUUGAGGCUAUCAUACCACCAUUUAUUGCUGUCAUAAGGAGGUGGUGCCCCCUUUUGUCUGGAAUUCAUGAACUUGCCACCACUGAUGGUUUAAAUCCUCUUACAGUGGAUAAUCAAGCAUUAGCUAUUGAUGCCCAGCCGAUUGAGGCUGCUCUUGCUAUGAUAUCUCCCGACUGGGCUGCUGCUUUUGCAUCUCCACCUGCUGCAAUGGCAUUGUCUAUGAUUGCAGCUGGUACUUCAGGUAGUGAAAGUCAUGCUCCUUCAACAAAUGCCCAGCUUAGGCGUGAAACCUCAUUGCUGGAACGCAAACAGGCCAGGCUUCAUACAUUUUCAAGCUUUCAAAAGCCUUCGGAUGUCCCUAACAAAACACCACCAAUACCAAAGAACAAAGCAUCUGAAAAAGCUGCUGCAUUGGCUGCUGCUCGUGAUCUUCAACGAUUUUCAAGGAUUGGUUCUGGAAGAGGUCUUAGUGCCGUUGCAAUGGCUACAUCUGCACAGCGAAGGAGUGCUAGUGAUAUGGAGCGGGUUAAGAGGUGGAAUAUUACUGAAGCAAUGGCAACUGCCUGGAUGGAAUGUCUGCAGCCAGUUGAUACGAAGUCAGUAUACGAAAAAGAUUUCAAUGCUUUGUCAUAUAAAUUUAUUGCUGUUCUUGUUGCCUGUUUUGCCAUAGCAAGGAAUAUGCAGCGAUUUGAGAUUGAGAGGCAUGCUCGUGCAGAUAUAAUAUCUCGGCAUCGUAUCAGCACUGGAAUUCAUGCCUGGCGCAAGCUUAUUUGCGAGUUAAUCGAGAUGAGAAGUCUUUUUGGGCCUUUUUCUGAUUAUUUGUACAGCCCGAUUCGGGUGUUUUGGAAGCUUGAUUUUAUGGAAAGUUCUUCUAGGAUGAGAAGAUGUAUGAGGAGGAAUUAUCGAGGGUCUGAUCAUUUAGGUUCUGCUGUCAAUUAUGAGGAUUACUCGGGGGAUAAUAAUCAGAGAACUCCAGUUUUAUCAGCAGAGGCAAUCACAAUAGAAGCUGUAAAUGAUGACGAAGAAAAUUUGGAUGUUAGGGUUGAUGAUAUUGAAGAUAAAGUAGAGAAUCAAUCUUCCAAAGCAGCUAAGAAAAUUGGGCAAGACUCUUUAGAAUCCAAUGGUAUUCAGCUUGAAAGUGAUGGGGGUGUUGUUCAGAGUUCUUCAGCCUUUGCACCUGGUUAUGUUCCAAGUGAGCUUGAUGAAAGAAUUGUUUUUGAGCUGCCAUCAACAAUGGUCCAUCCGCUUAGGAUUAUACACGGAACCUUCCAAGUGACUAGUAGGAGGAUAAAUUUUAUAGUUGAUAAUAUUGAGGUGAGCGCCAAGAUGGAUGGCUUAAAUUUUGGUUCUAAGGCAGGGGACCAAGAAAAGAAUCGCAGCUGGUUAAUAUCUGCUCUUCAUCAAAUUUAUAGUCGAAGAUAUCUUCUUAGAAGAAGUGCACUGGAGCUAUUUAUGGUGGACCGUUCCAACUUCUUCUUUGACUUUGGGAGUAGUGAGGGGCGAAGAAAUGCAUAUCAAGCAAUUGUUCAUGCACGACCUCCAUAUUUAAACAAUAUAUAUUUAGCUACUCAGAGACCUGGACAACUUUUGAAAAGAACUCAGCUUAUGGAGCGUUGGGCUAGGUGGGAGAUCAGUAAUUUUGAGUAUCUAAUGCAACUCAAUACAUUGGCUGGGCGUAGUUAUAAUGAUAUAACCCAGUAUCCAGUUUUCCCUUGGAUUCUAUCUGAUUACAGUUCUCAGAACUUGGAUCUUUCUAAUCCUUCUUCUUACCGGGAUCUUUCAAAGCCUGUUGGAGCACUGAACCCAGAUCGUCUGAAAAAAUUUCAAGAGAGAUACACUAGCUUUGAUGAUCCUGUCAUCCCUAAAUUCCACUAUGGAUCGCACUACUCAAGUGCAGGAACUGUCUUAUAUUAUCUUGUUCGGGUUGAACCAUUCACAACCCUUGCAAUCAAACUACAAGGUGGAAAAUUUGAUCAUGCAGAUCGAAUGUUUUCUGAUAUUUCUGCUACUUGGAAUGGAGUUCUUGAGGACAUGAGUGAUGUGAAGGAAUUGGUUCCUGAGCUAUUUUACCUCCCUGAGGUCCUCACAAAUGAAAAUUCAAUUGACUUUGGCACAACACAAUUGGGAGGAAAGCUUGAUACUGUACAACUUCCUGCUUGGGCUGAGAAUCCAGUUGAUUUUGUGCACAAGCAUAGGAUGGCUCUGGAAAGUGAGUAUGUAUCUGCUCAUUUGCAUGAGUGGAUUGACCUCAUAUUUGGGUAUAAGCAACAGGGCAAAGAGGCUAUUACAGCAAAUAAUGUUUUCUUUUAUAUUACCUAUGAAGGGACAGUGGAUAUUGAUAAAAUAUCAGACCCAGUGCAACAGCGUGCCACACAAGAUCAGAUUGCUUAUUUUGGACAAACACCAUCCCAACUUCUGACUGUUCCUCACUUGAAGAAGAUGCCACUGUCGGAAGUUCUACAUUUGCAGACAAUAUUCCGCAACCCAAAAGCAGUCAAACCAUAUGCUGUUCCAUCCCCUGAACACUGCAAUCUACCAGCGGCUGCCAUGCACGCGUCUUCAGAUAUGGUUGUGGUUGUUGGUUUGAAUGCACCAGCAGCUAAUGUUGCACAGCACAAGUGGCAACCAAAUACACCUGAUGGCCACGGCACACCGUUCCUCUUUCAACAUGGAAGAGCAUCAGGCUCCGCUGGUGGGACUAUUAAACGAAUGUUCAAAGGUCCUGCUGGGUCUGGUGAAGAUGGCCAAUAUCCCCAAGCAUUAGCUUUUGCUGUUUCUGGAAUUAGAAGCCAAGCAAUUGUUUCUAUAACAUGUGACAAAGAAAUUAUUACUGGUGGGCAUGUUGAUAAUAGUAUUAGGUUGAUAUCCUCAGAUGGUGCUAAAACCUUGGAAACAGCCUUUGCACACUGUGCUCCUGUAACUUGUGUUGGUCUUUCACCCAAUAGUGACUACCUGGUGACAGGAUCCCAAGAUACAAUAGUAAUACUCUGGAGAAUACAUCGGGCCCUUGCAUCUCAAUCAAGUGUCGUAUCAGAGUCCUCUACUGGGUCCGGCACACUGCCUUCAACCAGCAGUAGUUCUUCAUCGCAUCUGUUGAUAGAAAAGAAUCGUAGACGUCGUAUUGAGGGUCCUAUACAGGUACUUCGGGGGCACCGCAGUGAAAUACUCAGUUGUUGUGUCAGCUCAGAACUUCGAAUAGUUGUUUCAUGCUCCCUCUCGUCAGAUGUUCUCCUGCACUCUAUAAGAAAGGGACGUUUAAUAAGAAGGCUGAAUGGUGUGGUGGCCCAUACUGUCUGCCUUUCCUCUGAAGGGGUUGUCAUGACUUGGAAUGAGUCAAAGCAUAUUCUAAGUACCUUUACUCUUAAUGGUGUUCUGAUUGCUAAAACAGAAUUAUCUUUCUCUAGCAGCAUUAGUUGCAUGGAAAUUUCUGUUGACGGGAGGAGUGCUUUGAUUGGAAUAAAUUCUCAAGAAAAUGGUGGAUCCUAUAAAAACAGUUGGAAUUUUCAACCGAGUAAGUCAGGUACUGUUGAUUUUGAUUCAGAAUCAGAAGAAACUCACGAUGGCGACGGAAUAAAUGCUCCAUCACCAUCAAUUUGCUUCCUGGAUUUGCACACUUUGCAGGUAUUUCAUGUAUUGAGGCUGAGAGAAGGACAGGACAUUACAGCUCUUGCUCUAAAUAAGGAUAACACAAAUCUAUUGGUUUCAACUAUGGAUAAACAAUUGAUUAUCUUUACAGAUCCAGCUCGUGGUAGAUUUUGAUAUUUUUAUAUGCCUGUUGGACCAAAUGCUCACAAAUCAGAUUCUGCUACAUUGCACUAGUGAUUGAGCUUGAAAGUGGUCGAUCAAAUGCUCAAGCUUGGUUGGGAAGGUGAUGGGCUUAAGCACCUCAUAAAAUGAUAAACUUUUAGGGCGUAUGAAAGUGGAUUACAGGACUUUUAUACAUAAUAACUAUUAGGAAAAUAGAAUGGAGUUAUAGCACCCCUGUUUGUAAGCAUUAUGAUUGCAUCUCUAUGGUGCAAAGACAUCCUGUACCAUAUGUAACAACCAAUUCUUACCAGCUACCACCAUAGUAUUAGGUUAUUAGAUUUAGCUUUGGGUUCUUUUGCUCUCCCAGUUCAGCUGAAACAUUAAUAUCUAACAAGCUUUUGACUGAGAUUUGAGCCAUUACAGUUUUUUUCCUCUAUUUUUCUAUUACAGUGAAUGAAAAUAUCAUAACCUUCUUUCUUUUAACACUUUUCGGAUGUAAUACCUGCCUUCUAUACAUAUUAAUAAAAAUAUUUCAAUGGUUAAUAUGUUA